AUGGCCACCUCCGCCGCUGCCGCCGCCUCGUCUCCUUCCUCCGACCAACCUCCCGCGAACAAGGCGGUCCACGUGGUGGUCAAGGGCCGGGUCCAGGGCGUGGGCUUCCGCGACUGGACGGCCGAGACGGCGGAGUCCCUCGGCCUCGCCGGCUGGGUCCGCAACAACCGCCGCGACGGCACCGUGGAGGCCCUCCUCUCCGGCGACCCUGCCAAGGUCGACGAGAUGGUCAUCCGCCGCCUCCCCGUCGGCCCUCCUGCCGCCGCCGUCACCGCCGUCGUCACAUCCCCAGCCGACCACAUCCACCCCUCCCUCGGCUUCGAAAUCAAGCUCACCGUCUGA
This 342-nucleotide ribosomal RNA is filed under the name Triticum aestivum (bread wheat). RNAcentral describes it as "partial small subunit ribosomal RNA". The record is from RNAcentral. Lineage: Eukaryota; Viridiplantae; Streptophyta; Magnoliopsida; Poales; Poaceae.